ACCACACCCUUAGCCCAUUAGCCCAUUAUUUGGCACUUCCCCCACCUUAUCCAUCUCCCUUUCAAAGACAGCAUAUGCCCUUCCAUGGAUGAUGGAUCCCAGUCAUUUCUCCUCCACCCAGAAACUCAUAAACACAAGCACAACCUACCAUUACCAUAGCUACCUAGUAUAGCUCAUUAAAAGGAGCCUUUAGAUACUAACGCCACUGAUGGCUUCUGCAACUACAAGACCAACUUUCUCCUUCCACCUUUCCCAAGUCCCUCCUCCAAAACCCACUGCCCAUUUCUGCAAACUAUCGUUCAUCUCUCUCCAUAAACCUCUAAAGACCCAUUUUAUUAUUCGCUCAGUUGAUGUCUCUAAAGAAGACAAACCACCUGCUACAAACCAACCAAGUAAUCCACCAAUACCAUCAGCAGCAGAAUUACCUUCUGCUGCAGAAUCACCUUCUGCUGCAGAAUCACCCCCUCAAGAUUUGGAACCGAAAUUUGACCAGCGGAGGUUAGAAGAGAAGUUUGCAGUGUUGAAUACUGGGAUCUAUGAGUGCAGGUCUUGUGGUUACAAAUAUGAUGAGGCUGUUGGCGACCCCUCAUACCCAAUUCCACCAGGAUUGCCGUUUGACAAGUUGCCUGAGGACUGGAGGUGUUGUACUUGUGGGGCUGCAAAGAGUUUCUUCGAGAGUAAGAGUGUGGAGAUCGCUGGUUUUGCACAAAACCAGCAAUAUGGGCUUGGAGGCAACUCGCUUACUUCUGGGCAAAAGGCUAUUUUGAUAUAUGGUAGCUUAUUGUUGUUUUUUGUUUUGUUCUUGUCAGGGUACUUUCUGCAAUAAUGUAUGGCAAUGGAGAAGAUAUUUUGGUUUUAUGUAUCGUGUGUAGUUUAUUGAUACUUGCAAAUAGAUUAAUAUUUUUAGAAGUGCAUUAGUGUGGGUUAUAGAAUACUAUUUUGUUAAUAAAUCUCUUCAAUAUUGGUAAUGGCUUGUAAACCAUGUGACAGAGCAAGUUGGACGAAUACUUCAGCGAAUUCAGCUAAUCAGCCAAUUAUUCCCCCCUACCCUUGGUGUAGAGUUCUUCUCCUUUGACAAUUGAAACUUCAUCAUUCUUUUGCAAUUUGCAUUAAGUACUCAGCG
This 1123-nucleotide unclassified non-coding RNA is filed under the name Hevea brasiliensis (rubber tree). The record is from RNAcentral. Lineage: Eukaryota; Viridiplantae; Streptophyta; Magnoliopsida; Malpighiales; Euphorbiaceae.